UACAGAGGGUGCGAGCGUUGUCCGGAAUCACUGGGCGUAAAGGGCGCGUAGGCGGCUUGAUAAGCGUGCGGUGAAAGCCCGGGGCUCAACCCCGGGUCGGCCGUGCGAACUGUCGAGCUGGAGCACUGUAGAGGCAGGUGGAAUUCCGAGUGUAGCGGUGGAAUGCGUAGAGAUCCGGAAGAACACCGGUGGCGAAGGCGGCCUGCUGGGCAGUGGCUGACGCUGAGGCGCGACAGCGUGGGGAGCAAACAGG
This 253-nucleotide ribosomal RNA is filed under the name uncultured bacterium. Its description in RNAcentral is "partial 16S ribosomal RNA". It matches the Rfam family "Bacterial small subunit ribosomal RNA", at positions 524 to 776 of the family's 1533-position model. The record is from RNAcentral.